Molecule: long non-coding RNA, 554 nt
Organism: Oncorhynchus masou masou (cherry salmon)
Lineage: Eukaryota; Metazoa; Chordata; Actinopteri; Salmoniformes; Salmonidae
Exons: 3
Source: RefSeq, a predicted model, not a curated record
AACUGCAACGCUGCUGGGUUACUCCCGCUCAACAGUUUCCUGUGUGUAUCAAACACAGCAGGGGUAUAGACUGUGGAACCCAGUUCCUACAUUUAAAUAUAAAAAUGGAUUUUAUCAAACAGAACUAUGCUACAUUUUAUCUCUGUGACCCUCAGGAUGACAAAUCAGAACAAGAUUACUGAAUCUACUUCUCUCAUGAGUGGGUCUUGGAGAUGUACAAGUGCACAGCAAGUCUGAACCAGCACAAUACUAUAUUGAUGCAGAUGAGGAAUAGAAGAAUAUUCACAGUGACUCCUGCAGGCAUCAAGCUCUGGAACAACAAGCCUUUGUAUGCCAACAUCAUGUCUCCUACACACAUGGAGAUGAUCUCAAACCCAACUUCUGGACAAUGGCUUUGUACGACAGAGAUCCUUGAUACAGAUCACUGCAGUAUGUUAUCACCACAUUGGCCCAGCAUCGUCCGAGUUUGGCCGGUGUAGUCCAUCAUUGUAAAGAAGAAUUUGUUCUUAACGGUCUUGCCUAGUUAAAUAAAGGUUCAAUUUGUAACAAUUGAA